Long non-coding RNA from Oncorhynchus masou masou (cherry salmon), 4149 nucleotides. RefSeq lists it as uncharacterized. The transcript is spliced from 6 exons. The record is from RefSeq and is a predicted model, not a curated record. NCBI's taxonomy places the organism in Eukaryota, Metazoa, Chordata, Actinopteri, Salmoniformes, Salmonidae.
AGAGAGAAAGGGGGGAAAAGAAAACAGAGAAACAGGUUUAUCGUCACUCUUCUCUUCAGCUGAAACUGUGGCAGGUCCUAAACUUUGAGAGGCAAAGGUACUUUGUAGGCUACUUCACUGCGUUUUGCUUUCAACAAAUCACGGGCACAGUUUACACGUGCGCUAAUGGUAAGCACUGUGCAAUUGUAUGGCCAUAUUAUAGAAUGGGUAUAUGUAUCUCCUAUAAUAACUGUGAGCCCUAAUCUGAAGCUAAUUGGAGCCUACUGCUAUUGCCAAAGGCGACGAUGGACAAUGGCCAAAUGUAAACCCUGUUAUUAUGUAGCCAAGGUCAUGGUGGAGAAAUGGGGAGCUAUGAUGACGAGGGAAAAAAAGCCUGCUUACCUUGUAUGUACUUUCGGUCAGUUUAUUCACAUCGUCAUGAUCCAGAGACAUGUUGGCAGUCAUUUCUCAGUCUCUGCAAGAUGGAACAAAAAAAAACUAAACCAAAGCCAAUCACUCGAAGUCUAUAUAAUUCCUUUCAAAUCCAAGGGUGGGCUGUUUAGUUGUUCCAGGAGUAGUUUACAAUUGAGAGCAGAAGCGCAACUGUGCACCAGUGGCCAAACAAACCGGCAUCAACCGCUGCGCUGCCUGAACGGAGACUGUCAAACUUCACCGUGUGUGUGUCGGAGGGGCUGGAGACAGAAAAGAAAUAUAAUUGUGGUGGUCUUCGUGUCACCUGCCCUGAUUCUGAGCCCCCGGGUUUUGGGGCUCACAACAAACGGUUUGAUCCAUCUGAAAAAUGUUUCGGGGAAGCUCAGCUUCAUUCAGAGGAAAUGCGACUUACGUGCGGGACAGGGAGAUGGCCUCGGAGGUUCCAACCGAGACAUAGUUCGAACUGUUCGAUCCAAGGAACACUUUACGCACCGCCAAAUUCAACUAUACCUGGGAGUUUGGCAACGGUACGUGGUUGUUUAUUCUGGUUUUGUAAGGGAGGUGCUGUAUGUGCACCAUAAAUACUUGUCCUCUGGAAACUACACUCUGCGGCUGAGAGUGGGGGCCCAAGUGAACAAAAGCUCUACUCCACUCCACUAACUGGGGUUUACACCAUGGACAUUGCAGUGCUGGGUAGGUUGGCAGAAUAUACAUAAUUUUUGUUAAGAAUGAUUUCGUUUGAAAUUGUAUUGCAUAUCUCUGCUAUUUUCCCGACCCCAUCAGAAAUAUUAAGUCGAAAGGCCCUUUGAGUUUCCAGGUUCCCAGAAACAACAGUCUGGGUAUUCAUGUCGAUGGAAGGUGGAUACAAUUUCUCAGUAGAAUUAACACUCAUACAACAUCAUAAACAUGCAUAACACAUCAAAGAAUCGACUCAUUUAUUCUCUCUCUUCCUCUCUUGGCUUCCCAGUCCUUCAAUGUGGGUGUGCUAUAUUCAUUCUCAUUAGCUUUAUCUCUCUCUCUCUCUCUCUCUCUCUCUCUCUCUCUCUCUCUCUCUCAAUUCAAUUCAAUUCAAGGGGCUUUAUUGGCAUGGGAAACGUGUUAACAUUGCCAAAGCAAGUAAGGUAUAUAAUAUAUAAAGUAAAAUAAACAAUAACAAUUAACAGUAGACAUCACACAUACAGAAGUUUCAAAACAAUAAAGACAUUACAAAUGUCGUAUUAUAUAUAUAUACAGUGUUUUUACAAUGUCUCUCUCUCUCUCUCUCUCUCUCUCUCUCUCUCUCUCUCUCUCUCUCUCUCUCUCUCUCUCUCACACACACACACACACACAUUCAGACUGAACGGCUUUAGGAGUCCACUGUCUUGACAUCAGUGUCUGCAAUGACAUCAGCAAACUACAGACCUCCUAGGCUGAAGCUACAGUACAGUACACACUCUCUCCUCUCACUAUGAAUACAGUAUAGACUAGUUUGAUAUAGUACAAAUGAUCCAUCUAUUAGUAUAGUGUCGCUCAGCAGUUCUGGUGGCACAAGGGGUUUUGAUCCGAAUUGACCUCUUUAGAUUUCAUGGUUCUCCUUAUAAUCUUAAAGGGAUUCUAUGGGGUUUUGGCAAUGAGGCCCUCUAUCCACUUCCCCGGAGUCAGAUGAACUUGUAGAUAUACUUUUUAUGUCUCUGCAUGCAGUUUGAAGAAAGUUGCUAACUAGCGUUAGCGCAAUUGCUAAAUGAUAUUAGUGCAAUGACUGGAAGUGUCUAUUCAUUGCGCUAACGCUGGUUAGCAUUGGCUCGCAAACCUACCUUGAACUACCUUCAUACUGGACACAGAGACAUACAAAUAGUAUCCAUGAGCUCAUCUGACUUUAGGGAAGUAGAUAAAGGGCCUCAUUGCCAAAAUCCCAAAGUAUCCCUUUAAACUGAACCGAGUGAUAGUGUUUUUCAGAGAAAUGAAAAGACGUCAAUGGGACAGUGGCCAGAAUUGAGGAAUUCACUAGGGAGUUCUGGAGAAGAGUCAUUUAACUCAUGGACCCACAACCCAUACUGUUCAUGUCUCAUGUGGUGAACUGAGGAGUUUCAGGAAGCUUGUGACCUAAUUCUAAUGCAUAUACAAAUACCAGAACACUAAAAUAAUGAUGAAUGAUGGCUAUUGUAAAUAGGAACAUGAUUCAGUGGUGUACAAAGUAGGUCAAGAGGAGACAUGCUGUGGUGCUUGAAUAAUCAUGCAUGCAGAAACUGGUGAGUAUGACAGUUACUAAUUGGGAGUGAAUUGUAAAUAUGAAAUGAAUUUUGCUUGCACAACUUCUGACCACUAUUCAAGCUUGUCUAGCUGCAUCAUGUAAUACUGUAGCAUUAAAGUAUGUGAAGAGUUUUCCCUACCUUGAACUAUGGUAACAACAGUUCUCUGUCUCCUAAUAGCCUCCAAUAACCUGCUCUUCAUCCUGCCGUGUGCUGGGAUCAUAUUAGCAAUCCUCGCCUUCAUCACUGUUAUAGCCAGUCGCCCUAAGAAGGGAAACAACAACAAUUCACAGAUGUCUGGGUACAGUAACGCCACUUACUCCAGCAUUAAGAUGGAACUGCAGCCCCAUCAGGACAUCCCUGAUAUCAGUACUGAUCUGUAUGUGUCCAGGGCAGAAGAAAGGAGAGGUCCAAACCCUUCUGUUGCAGCAUGGUACCAGAGCUGACGCCUACUCAUACUGCAACCAGUCUUCAUUUACACGCUUUUGAUCUGGGCUUUGUGCUGCUCUGAUUCAAGUCCAAUGCUAAUAGUUUGCUAAAAAUGUAUGGUUUGAGAUGAAUAUACAUGUAAAGUAACCUUGAACUAUAAAUUAUUUCACUGAUGUACAAGUAUACGGAACAAAAAUAUAAAUGCAGCAUGCAUCAAUUUCAAUAAUAUUACUGAGUUACAGUUCCUAUAAGGAAAUCAGUCAAUUGAGAUAAAUUCAUUAUGCCCUAAUCUAUAGAUUUCACAUGACUGGUGAAGGGCGCAGCCAUUUUCCCCACAAAAGGUCUUUAUUACACACUGAAAUGCUACUCGGUUGAAUCAGCUGUCCGGGUGACUGGUCUCAGACAAUGCCGCAGGUGAAGAAGCCGGAUGUGGAGGUCCUGGGCUGGAGUGGUUACACGAGAUCUGCGGUUGUGAGGCCGGUUUGAUGUACUGCCAAAUUCUCUAAAACAACAUUGGAUGUGGCUUAUGGUAGAGAAAUAAAUAUAACAUUCUCUGUCAACCGCUCAGGGAGACAUUCCUGCAGUCAGCAUGCCAAUUUCACACUCCCUCAAAACUUGAGACAUCUGUGGCAUUGUGUUGUGUGACAAAACUGCACAUUUUAGAGUGGCCUUUAAUUGUCCCGAGCAAUCAUGCUGUUUAAUCAGCUUCUUGAUAUGCCACAGCUGUCAGGUGGAUGGAUUACCUUGGCAAAAGAGAAAUGCUAACUAACAGGGAUGUAAACACAUUUGUGUAUAGAAUUUGAGAGAAAUAAGCUUUUUGUAUGUAUGGAACAUUUCUGGGAUCUUUUAUUUCAGCUCAUGAAACACGGGACCAACACUUUACAUGAUGCGUUUAUAUUUUUGUUCAGUAUAAGUCAAGACUGAGACUAGACCAUUAAGGGACACUCAACACCUCUUGGAAAUCCAUUCUGGUGUGUCUUUUGCAUCAACGUGUGUAAUUGUCCAGUAGAAAAAUAAAACCCUAUCCCAGGGUAAGGUUUUCAGAAGACUGAUGUGGGUUUUCCACUAACGUUUUACCUGA